GUGGGGAAUUUUGGACAAUGGGGGCAACCCUGAUCCAGCCAUGCCGCGUGCGGGAAGAAGGCCUUCGGGUUGUAAACCGCUUUUGUCAGGGAAGAAAUCCUUUGGGUUAAUACCUCGGAGGGAUGACGGUACCUGAAGAAUAAGCACCGGCUAACUACGUGCCAGCAGCCGCGGUAAUACGUAGGGUGCGAGCGUUAAUCGGAAUUACUGGGCGUAAAGCGUGCGCAGGCGGUUUUGUAAGAUCGAUGUGAAAUCCCCGGGCUCAACCUGGGAACUGCAUUGGUGACUGCAAGGCUGGAGUGCGGCAGAGGGGGAUGGAAUUCCGCGUGUAGCAGUGAAAUGCGUAGAUAUGCGGAGGAACACCGAUGGCGAAGGCAAUCCCCUGGGCCUGCACUGACGCUCAUGCACGAAAGCGUGGGGAGCAAACAGGAUUAGAAACCCCAGUAGUCC
Molecule: ribosomal RNA, 450 nt
Filed under: uncultured bacterium
Lineage: Bacteria
Description: bacterial SSU rRNA
Rfam family: Bacterial small subunit ribosomal RNA
Source: RNAcentral